This is a long non-coding RNA of Etheostoma spectabile (orangethroat darter), 507 nucleotides long. RefSeq lists it as uncharacterized. The record is from RefSeq and is a predicted model, not a curated record. Lineage: Eukaryota; Metazoa; Chordata; Actinopteri; Perciformes; Percidae. The transcript is spliced from 3 exons.
UUGCUGUCAUUAUCGCUUCCCACUACCAGGGUUGGAACUGAAAUAAUAGGCUAAAGCAAUGACAUUUUUAGGAAAGCACAAGUGUAAUUAUGGUCAGAUCUUGAGCCUGACUGAUGAGGAAGUGAUAUUGAUAAAAGCGUUGGCUAGUUAUUUUUGCCAGCUUUCCUUCCUGGGUUAGGAAGCAGACACUGUAUCGCGUUUUGCCUGUAAAACCAUGUCUGUGUUCUUCAUCUGUAUGUAGAAUUAUAGUUGGCUCUUCUAAUUUUAAAAAUGCGGCUCUGGAAGAUGUUUGUGAUUGGUCAUUCUGUGCAAACACCGGCUCUUUUAUGGGAGCGCGUGCGUCGCUGGAUUGGGAAACCCUGGGUUGGUUGAACUGGUGGUUAACCAGCGUUGUGACACAGCUUAAACCGGACCGUGGUAGUUAGGUGAAGCCGGGUAACUGAAUGAAAUCCAGGGCAUGUUGAUCUUGAUUCGUAGUACAGGCCUCAGGUUGUGUUUCAGUUAAAA